ACACAUCUGGCAUUAAUGGAAAUAAAUGAAAGAUUUCAAUCAAUUCAAACAAGGACACUUUGGGAUGGAAUCGGGUAUCGUCAGUAAAGAAACAGACGAUAAUCCAGAAACUGACGAUAAUCCAGAAACUGACUGGAAAAUAUGUUUCUGCCAUCAAAAGCUUCCUGACAGUUCCGUUAUGUGAUGUACUCUGAAUUCUUUGUGGUUAUCCCUCAACUCCACUGCACCAGGGAGCUAAGAGAAGAUUUUUGUUUUAGUAUAUCUGGUAGUGAAAGGCACUCAGGGAUCAAAGGAUGAAAGUGAUAAGAUGCUUCCUUGGACACAGUCUUAGAUGCAGUCACUUCCUCAGAGAAUAUGGAGAAUCCAAAAGCAAAAGAACUUGAAUGAAUCUUUGCAACCAAGACACCCCAGUAACAUCUUUCAG
This 424-nucleotide long non-coding RNA is filed under the name Homo sapiens (human). RNAcentral's name for it is "HSALNT0295186". Lineage: Eukaryota; Metazoa; Chordata; Mammalia; Primates; Hominidae. The record is from RNAcentral.